Molecule: ribosomal RNA, 253 nt
Filed under: uncultured bacterium
Lineage: Bacteria
Description: partial 16S ribosomal RNA
Rfam family: Bacterial small subunit ribosomal RNA
Source: RNAcentral
UACAUGUGGGACAAGCGUUGUUCGGAAUUACUGGGCAUAAAGGGUGCGUAGGCGGCUUGUUAAGUCAGGGGUGAAAGUUUUCGGCCCAACCGGAAAAUUGCCUUUGAUACUGGCGAGCUGGAGUGCGUGAGGGGUGACCGGAACGAGUGGUGUAGCGGUGAAAUGCGUAGAUAUCACUCGGAAGGCCAACGGCGAAGGCAGGUCACUGGUGCGCAACUGACGCUGAGGCACGAAAGCGUGGGGAGCAAACAGG